RNAcentral lists this ribosomal RNA (468 nucleotides) under uncultured bacterium. Its description in RNAcentral is "partial 16S ribosomal RNA". It matches the Rfam family "Bacterial small subunit ribosomal RNA", at positions 28 to 507 of the family's 1533-position model. The record is from RNAcentral.
GACGAACGCUGGCGGCGUGCUUAACACAUGCAAGUCGAACGGAAAGGCCCUGCUUUUGUGGGGUGCUCGAGUGGCGAACGGGUGAGUAACACGUGAGUAACCUGCCCUUGACUUUGGGAUAACUUCAGGAAACUGGGGCUAAUACCGGAUAGGAGCUCCUGCUGCAUGGUGGGGGUUGGAAAGUUUCGGCGGUUGGGGAUGGACUCGCGGCUUAUCAGCUUGUUGGUGGGGUAGUGGCUUACCAAGGCUUUGACGGGUAGCCGGCCUGAGAGGGUGACCGGCCACAUUGGGACUGAGAUACGGCCCAGAAUCCUACGGGAGGCAGCAGUGGGGAAUAUUGCACAAUGGGCGGAAGCCUGAUGCAGCAACGCCGCGUGCGGGAUGACGGGCUUCGGGUUGUAAACCGCUUUCGCCUGUGACGAAGCGUGAGUGACGGUAAUGGGUAAAGAAGCACCGGCUAACUACGUG